RNAcentral lists this ribosomal RNA (641 nucleotides) under uncultured Lachnospiraceae bacterium. RNAcentral's name for it is "bacterial SSU rRNA". It matches the Rfam family "Bacterial small subunit ribosomal RNA", at positions 67 to 720 of the family's 1533-position model. The record is from RNAcentral. Lineage: Bacteria; Bacillati; Bacillota; Clostridia; Lachnospirales; Lachnospiraceae.
UGAUUUUCCUCGGAACUGAAGAUUUGGUGAUUGAGCGGCGGACGGGUGAGUAACGCGUGGGUAACCUACCCUGUACAGGGGGAUAACAGUCAGAAAUGACUGCUAAUACCGCAUAAGACCACAGCACCGCAUGGUGCAGGGGCAAAAACUCCGGUGGUACAGGAUGGACCCGCGUCUGAUUAGCUGGUUGGUGAGGUAACGGCUCACCAAGGCGACGAUCAGUAGCCGGCUUGAGAGAGUGAACGGCCACAUUGGGACUGAGACACGGCCCAAACUCCUACGGGAGGCAGCAGUGGGGAAUAUUGCACAAUGGGGGAAACCCUGAUGCAGCGACGCCGCGUGAGUGAAGAAGUAUCUCGGUAUGUAAAGCUCUAUCAGCAGGGAAGAAAAUGACGGUACCUGACUAAGAAGCCCCGGCUAACUACGUGCCAGCAGCCGCGGUAAUACGUAGGGGGCAAGCGUUAUCCGGAAUUACUGGGUGUAAAGGGUGCGUAGGUGGUAUGGCAAGUCAGAAGUGAAAACCCAGGGCUUAACUCUGGGACUGCUUUUGAAACUGUCAGACUGGAGUGCAGGAGAGGUAAGCGGAAUUCCUAGUGUAGCGGUGAAAUGCGUAGAUAUUAGGAGGAACAUCAGUGGCGAAG